Rosa rugosa (rugosa rose) is the source of this 1532-nucleotide RNA transcript. It is a transcript of the gene named PH, RCC1 and FYVE domains-containing protein 1-like, with no coding region annotated. The transcript is spliced from 4 exons. The record is from RefSeq and is a predicted model, not a curated record. NCBI's taxonomy places the organism in Eukaryota, Viridiplantae, Streptophyta, Magnoliopsida, Rosales, Rosaceae.
UGUACAAUCAUAUGAUCUUUUGAUCACAGAAAUAUAUUUUCCUUUCUCCUAAAAAAAUAAAUAAAAUAGAUUGCCUAAAGUGAAGCAUUAGAUUUAAAAUAGUGCAUAUAUAUGCCCCUACUCACUUCAUUCAGGGAUUGUUUCAAGAACUGGCAUCCACCUUGUUGCUGCAGAAUUAUGCACCAUAACCAUUACUUUUCCAUGUUUCUCUGAUCUGAAUUCUUAAGAGCACUUCCUCCACAGGUACCGUCUUGGAUAAUAAUUCUUGACGCUGCUGCCUUGUUAUGAUCGCCUUUAUUCUCUUUCUACAAACUUUCACCAUCAGAUAAGAACAAUCUAUAUAUUGACUAGAGAGAUUACAUGCAUGCAUCCUCAAUCAACAACCCGAGGCCACCUGCUCUGCUUGUACUCGAAAACCUUGCUUACAAUCUUCACAAUGCGCAAGAGUACCAUACCCUCUCAUUUUCACUCUCCACCCUCGAAGGCUGCGUUUUGGGGGGGGGGGGCCUUUUUUGCUCCCCCGCUAAUAAGCGCCUCAACGGUUUGCGUUUGGUAAACCUGCUUCUCCCCUCCUUUUUCCAGAAGCCAACGCUUUUUCGAUCGAAAAGCCAAAGCCGGCAGUCCCUUGCUUUUAGAAGAAGCAGGAGACGGCUUUUGUCAUUGUAGCGGUAGAUACUGUAGAUUAAUGAAAUUUUGGAAAUACCGGUUUCUAUCCUCUCUUCGUUUCAGCAAUUACACAAUGCCAGGAGACUCUUCUCUUUCGUGUUCAAAUUCGAAGACUUUUCAGUUUCAAUUUCUUUGAAAAAAAGCCAAUCUUCAAAGGUAUCCUCGGCCUGAGAAGGAAUAUAAGUCAUUUUCUCUUAUAUAUGAUGACAGGUCUUUAGAUUCGAUAUGCAAGGAUAAAGAUGAAGCUGAAGUCUGGUUUACUGGUCUAAAAGCAUUAAUAUCACGCGGCCUUCAACAGAAGGGGAGGGCAGAAACAAAAAGUGGAGUUACCUCUGAAGCAAAUAGUCCAAGAUCACACACGCAAAGAAGUUCUCCUUUGAGCUCUCCAUUUUGUAGUGGUGAUAGUUCACAGAAGGAUGAACUGGAACCCUUUCAUCCUCAUGCUACAGCUGAAAGCCCUCCUAAAGUCCAUUUGGAGAAGGCUUUAUCAGAUGCCAUGUUAUAUGCCCUCCCUCCGAAAGUUCCCUUUCCUUCAGAUUCUGCUUUUGGCUCAUUUCAGUCUCUGUCAUCAGGAGGCUCAGAUUCUGCUUCUGGCUCAUUGAUGUUGGCCGGGCUAGUACAUGGGUAAAGAUUGUCAAUGAGUUGAUUUGAGAAAUUAGUUGAGAAAUUCGUGGCCUGGGUAAACUUGUCUUUGGCCAUCAUAACUAUAUGGUGACCAAUUAGUUGAUUUGAGAAGUAUAGGUGUGUCUGUUGUAAUUCAAGUGGAUAUUGCAAUUCUGCAUGUAAAUGUUGAGAAAUUAUGUUUGUAAAAUCUCUACUGAGAUCCCAUUCAUAGAUAGAAAUGAGCUUAAUAUGACUCUGAUAGA